CUACGGGAGGCUGCAGUGGGGAAUAUUGCACAAUGGGCGCAAGCCUGAUGCAGCCAUGCCGCGUGUAUGAAGAAGGCCUUCGGGUUGUAAAGUACUUUCAGCGGGGAGGAAGGGAGUAAAGUUAAUACCUUUGCUCAUUGACGUUACCCGCAGAAGAAGCACCGGCUAACUCCGUGCCAGCAGCCGCGGUAAUGCGGAGGGUGCAAGCGUUAAUCGGAAUUACUGGGCGUAAAGCGCACGCAGGCGGUUUGUUAAGUCAGAUGUGAAAUCCCCGGGCUCAACCUGGGAACUGCAUCUGAACUGGCAAGCUUGAGUCUCGUAGAGGGGGGUAGAAUUCCAGGUGUAGCGGUGAAAUGCGUAGAGAUCUGGAGGAAUACCGGUGGCGAAGGCGGCCCCCUGGACGAAGACUGACGCUCAGGUGCGAAAGCGUGGGGAGCAAACAGGAUUAGAUACCCCUGUAGUC
This 463-nucleotide ribosomal RNA is filed under the name uncultured bacterium. RNAcentral's name for it is "partial 16S ribosomal RNA". It matches the Rfam family "Bacterial small subunit ribosomal RNA", at positions 339 to 795 of the family's 1533-position model. The record is from RNAcentral.